This 497-nucleotide ribosomal RNA is filed under the name uncultured bacterium. Its description in RNAcentral is "partial 16S ribosomal RNA". It matches the Rfam family "Bacterial small subunit ribosomal RNA", at positions 28 to 507 of the family's 1533-position model. The record is from RNAcentral.
GACGAACGCUGGCGGCGUGCCUAAUUCAUGCAAGUUGAGCGCUGAAGGUUGGUACUUGUACCAACUGGAUGAGCAGCGAUCGGGUGAGUAACGCGUGGGGAAUCUGCCUUUGAGCGGGGGACAACAUUUGGAAACGAAUGCUAAUACCGCAUAAAAACUUUAAACACAAGUUUUAAGUUUGAAAGAUGCAAUUGCAUCACUCAAAGAUGAUCCCGCGUUGUAUUAGCUAGUUGGUGAGGUAAAGGCUCACCAAGGCGAUGAUACAUAGCCGACCUGAGAGGGUGAUCGGCCACAUUGGGACUGAGACACGGCCCAAACUCCUACGGGAGGCAGCAGUAGGGAAUCUUCGGCAAUGGACGAAAGUCUGACCGAGCAACGCCGCGUGAGUGAAGAAGGUUUUCGGAUCGUAAAACUCUGUUGGUAGAGAAGAACGUUGGUGAGAGUGGAAAGCUCAUCAAGUGACGGUAACUACCCAGAAAGGGACGGCUAACUACGUG